This 75-nucleotide transfer RNA is filed under the name Podarcis lilfordi (Lilford's wall lizard). RNAcentral describes it as "tRNA.Ile". Lineage: Eukaryota; Metazoa; Chordata; Lepidosauria; Squamata; Lacertidae. The record is from RNAcentral.
UCCCUAGAUAGCUCAGUUGGUUAGAUCAUGGUGCUGAUAAUGCCAAGGUUGCAAGUUCGAUCCUCAAUAAGGGAC